This 636-nucleotide ribosomal RNA is filed under the name Catenuloplanes sp. Ri1Pt_3866. RNAcentral's name for it is "bacterial SSU rRNA". It matches the Rfam family "Bacterial small subunit ribosomal RNA", at positions 382 to 1030 of the family's 1533-position model. Lineage: Bacteria; Bacillati; Actinomycetota; Actinomycetes; Micromonosporales; Micromonosporaceae. The record is from RNAcentral.
CCUGAUGCAGCGACGCCGCGUGAGGGAUGACGGCCUUCGGGUUGUAAACCUCUUUCAGCAGGGACGAAGCGAGAGUGACGGUACCUGCAGAAGAAGCGCCGGCCAACUACGUGCCAGCAGCCGCGGUAAGACGUAGGGCGCGAGCGUUGUCCGGAUUUAUUGGGCGUAAAGAGCUCGUAGGCGGCUUGUCGCGUCGAAUGUGAAAUCCCGUGGCUCAACUGCGGGUCUGCAUUCGAUACGGGCAGGCUAGAGUUCGGUAGGGGAGACUGGAAUUCCUGGUGUAGCGGUGAAAUGCGCAGAUAUCAGGAGGAACACCGGUGGCGAAGGCGGGUCUCUGGGCCGAUACUGACGCUGAGGAGCGAAAGCGUGGGGAGCGAACAGGAUUAGAUACCCUGGUAGUCCACGCUGUAAACGUUGGGCGCUAGGUGUGGGGGGCCUCUCCGGUCCUCUGUGCCGCAGCUAACGCAUUAAGCGCCCCGCCUGGGGAGUACGGCCGCAAGGCUAAAACUCAAAGGAAUUGACGGGGGCCCGCACAAGCGGCGGAGCAUGCGGAUUAAUUCGAUGCAACGCGAAGAACCUUACCUGGGUUUGACAUCGCCGGAAAUCUCGCAGAGAUGCGGGGUCCUUCGGGGCCGG